Molecule: long non-coding RNA, 213 nt
Filed under: Mustela putorius furo (domestic ferret)
Lineage: Eukaryota; Metazoa; Chordata; Mammalia; Carnivora; Mustelidae
Description: lncRNA (ENSMPUG00000027519.1)
Source: RNAcentral
CUUAGAUUUAAGCUGCUUUAAUGCUAGAUUCCCUCCCUCAGCGUAAAAGGCUAGAUGUUGGUGAUCAGGGUGACCCUGAAAGCUAUUUGUGGAAGAAGUUAUUUCUUCAGCCUGGGUCCAUGAAUGACUGCAGGAGGCAGAAUCCUUUCCACCUUUAGCCUCUAACCUGCAGCUCUCUUGGGCUAUUUAUGUGUGAGAAAAAUAAACUGUUAC